GAUGAACGCUGGCGGCGUGCCUAAUACAUGCAAGUCGAGCGAACAGACGAGGAGCUUGCUCCUCUGACGUUAGCGGCGGACGGGUGAGUAACACGUGGAUAACCUACCUAUAAGACUGGGAUAACUUCGGGAAACCGGAGCUAAUACCGGAUAAUAUAUUGAACCGCAUGGUUCAAUAGUGAAAGACGGUUUUGCUGUCACUUAUAGAUGGAUCCGCGCCGCAUUAGCUAGUUGGUAAGGUAACGGCUUACCAAGGCCACGAUGCGUAGCCGACCUGAGAGGGUGAUCGGCCACACUGGACCUGAGACACGGUCCAGACUCCUACGGCAGGCAGCAGUAGGGAAUCUUCCGCAUAGGGCGCAAGCCUGACGGAGCAACGCCGCGUGAGUGAUGAAGGUCUUCGGAUCGUAAAACUCUGUUAUUAGGGAAGAACAAAUGUGUAAGUAACUAUGCACGUCUUGACGGUACCUAAUCAGAAAGCCACGGCUAACUACGUG
RNAcentral lists this ribosomal RNA (497 nucleotides) under uncultured bacterium. Its description in RNAcentral is "partial 16S ribosomal RNA". It matches the Rfam family "Bacterial small subunit ribosomal RNA", at positions 28 to 507 of the family's 1533-position model. The record is from RNAcentral.